Molecule: long non-coding RNA, 3734 nt
Filed under: Pelobates cultripes (western spadefoot toad)
Lineage: Eukaryota; Metazoa; Chordata; Amphibia; Anura; Pelobatidae
Source: RNAcentral
GUAAAGGAGGAGACUAUAUUUAAAAGAAGAAAAACUACCACAACAAGAGGACAUAGUCUUAAAUUAGAGGGACAAAGGUUUAAAAAUAAUAUCAGGAAGUAUUACUUUACUGAGAGGGUAGUGGAUGCAUGGAAUAGCCUUCCAGCUGAAGUAGUAGAGGUUAACACAGUAAAGGAGUUUAAGCAUGCGUGGGAUAGGCAUAAGGCUAUCCUAACUAUAAGAUAAGACUAGGGACUAAUGAAAGUAUUUAGAAAAUUGGGCAGACUAGAUGGGCCGAAUGGUUCUUAUCUGCCGUCACAUUCUAUGUUUCUAUGUAUAGGGGAUGUAGUGUGUAUGUGUGUAGGUUAUGUAGUGUGUGUGUGUGUGUGUGUGUGUGUUAUGCAAUAUGUGUGUGUUUAAAGGGGAUGUAGUGUGUAUGUGUGUAGGAAACAGUGUGUGUAUAGGGGAUGUAGUGUGUAUGUGUUUAGGGAAUAUAGUGUGUGUAUAGGGAGUUUAGUGUGUUUGGGUGUAAAUUACGUAGUGUAUAUGUAUAAGGUGCAUAGUGUAUCUGUAUGUUUUGUAGUGUUUGUGAGUUAUCUAGUGUGUGUGUGUGUGUGUGUGUGUGUGUAGAGAACAUAGUGUGUUUAUAGGGGAUGUUGUGUGUGUGAGUAGAUUAUGUAGUGUGUGUGUAGGGGAUGUUGUGUGUGUGUGUGGAUUAUGUAGUGUGUGUUUGUGGAUUAUGUAGUGUGUGUGUGUGUGUGUGUGAGUGAGUAGAUUAUGUAGUGUGUGUAUGGGAGAUGUUGUGUGUGAGUAGAUUAUGUAGUGUGUGUAUGGGAGAUGUUGUGUGUGAGUAGAUUAUGUAGUGUGUGAGUAGAUUAUGUAGUGUGUGUGUGUGUGUGAGUAGAUUAUGUAGUGUGUGAGUGUGAGUAGAUUUUGUAGUGUGUGUAGGUAACACACACUCCAUAGUGGUGAUUUGUGGGUAGGAUGGGGUGACAUAAGGCUUUAAAUAAAGAGGUGGGAGAGCAAUUUCAUAUUUUGUGUUCUUAAAUUAAUUCAUGUUUGUUCCCCCUCUCUCUUGCAUACCUUUGGGCAGGGAUGGGGGAAUACUGAUGACAUGGUGGUCCAGCGGUCUUUGCCAGCUCUUGAAGUUCUGCACCUUGCAGAACCUUGCAGAACAGGAGCCAUUUUUUUCCUCGCAAGCUCUGCGUUGAUAGUAUGAGAGCAUUGCCGUGGUAACACCGCGGCAACACUCCGAAUGCCGAGCUCGCGAGAGGAGGGCAGAAUCAGAGCACUCGCUCCUCCCCAUCAUGCACACAGCGGGCCGGUGAGGGAGGUCCUCAAUCUCCUCACUGGCCAAUAAUAAAGCAGAGCUUACUCUCUAAGGGUCGGCCGGCCGGGGCACAAUCUUUCACCCACCAGGGCACUCUGAGGUAGGGCAGGACCUUGUUGUGCGAGCUGUGUCUGUUGCCCGGUGCCCCGUUGGCAUGGCGCCCUGUGCGGCCGCACAGCUCGCACACCCCUAAGGCCGGUCCUGCCCUUACACCUAUAGGGAUUUGAGAAUGCAUUUCCAACAAUGAGAGCGACAUUGUCACCAUCUGGGAACCUUGCAGAAUUUGCAAAUACCCCCAACAGUGAUAGUGAUGUUGGAGGUCCAGUGAGUUUCUCCGCCGUGUCCUCUUCAGCACGUGGACUGGUGAUGGCGGUGGGGAUUGACACUUCUAGACAGUGGUAGCUCCGCCCAGUUGUCUAGAAGUGUGAGGCAUUGAAAAUAUACAAAGAUAAAGUACUCCCUAUUUUUUUCUCAGUAUAUCUCUUGACUGGGUUGGAAUUUCAGUAAAAUUCCAACACAGUCAAAAUCUAUCUUUAUGGUUACUCAUGUUUUGGGGUGGAGAGGUGACAGUGCCACUGUAAGCAAUACCUGAAAAAUACUUCUAACUGUUAGUGCAUGAGCAGAAAGAACACCACAGACUUCUAGUCUGACCUAAUGGUGUGCACAAGCAAGAUUAAUGAUGCUUCAUUCAUCAAUUAGACAAACUAAAGGACAAAAAAGCACUUUAAGUGAAGUAAAACAGCAAAAUAGUCAAGAUAACCGAUUCACAUAUGCAGAACACCUGAAACACACUGCAAUGUCCAUGUAAGACAUAUGUUAAUUAUAUACCUGUCCUCUAUUAGCAUUAUCAUUGCACUUGACUGUCCAUUACUUUCCAGUCUGUCAUGUAAUGGAAAAGUCUGUGAAGGAGCCAUUUUUUUUCCUGUUAACUUGUAUGCCUACCAAGCUCACCAUUGUGAUGGUAACAACUAAAUCAUAAGUUAGACCUGAUUUUAAGACUUUUUCUUUUACCGGCAGUAAAAUGGUGUGUGAAAUUUGCAUUGUAUCAAAACUAAACUGUUGCUCGAUACCAGCCGCAAACCAUAAAACUUUGUUUAUCAGUUACUGACGCUCGACUGUUAUAGAGAGUAAUGAAGAGUUUUUUUCUGCUUGUCUCUUUCUGCCUAAAUUAUGCAGUUCAUCAGUCAAUUUACCACAAUCAACUGUUUUAGGAAUAAGCCUUUAAAAAGCACCUUAUGCCUUGGUAUUCAGGAAUAAGAAAUUUUGUUUACACGUUGUGCUAGCCAACCUGGCUUUCCUGUCUAGACGUUGAACGUUCCCCAUACAGAUGCAUUGAUUCAAUGCAUUUAUAUGAGGAGAUGCAUGGCGUUUUGCUGUAAUGGAAAAGCGUUGGAUUGGCUGAGAUCAUCAAGAUUGAUGAAGUCAGCCAUAGAGGUGGAGCUAGGCAAGGCAGGACUAACGUGGCAGUGGAGAAACAACUCUAUUUAGAAUGCAUAGUUUAUAUACGGUAUAAAGUGGAGUUUAUCAACCAAAUAAGUAAUUCUUACUGCUGUGUAAAAAGCCUAAACUUGUUUUGUUGUUCUUAUUAGAAAGCCUAUACAACCAAUUCAGCACUAUAGAGUCAGGAAUAGAGUUGGGAAUUCAUGAAUUCAAGUCUUUGUAAAUAUGUCAUUAUCCUAUCUUUCAAGACUUUUUAUAAUCCAUAAGUUUUUAUACACUCUGCACUGCCCACAAAUUACACAGAGGCACACUAGAUUUAGUAGGGUGCUUCUUCAGUGUGAGCAGUGUGACUUCACAUGCACAAUGUAAACCUAAAGAUGAUCUUGUUCCUCACUCUACGUUCUCUUAAAAUAGUAUUCCGUAGAUGUAAGCAUGUUACUGUCAAAUGCCAUUAAAAGCACUGCCAAAAAAAAUUGGUGCUAUAAAUGAAAAUAUUUGCAACAUUUCAUGCAACAAUUUAACCAUAUUCACUGCUUGUGUAUAUAUACAGUAAAAAUUUUUACAUCUGAGAAUAUAUAUGUAUAUUUUUUUGCUUGAAAACUUUUAUCUGGCACAUGCGCCUUAAAAGUGAUUGCAAUAAAUAUAUUUUGGAAUAAAACAAAGUGGAAACUAUACUUCUGAAUUCUUUAGUUUCUUCUUUUUUUUCUUUGCUCUACAUGCAAAGAUUGAGUACACCCCUAGCUCCAAAAUUCUUACUGUGUAAUGUCUUAUAUGUUGCAUAUAUGGCCUCAUAUGAAAUGUAUCAUAUUUUAUAUUGUAGUUAAACAAAGUAUGUCAGAUUGUGUUUGUAAUUUCCAGGUAAUUGUAUAUGAUUUGCACCCUCCCUCAGUCCCCAAAAAAAAAUAAACAGGGGCCUGGUAGUCCUUUAAGUGCCAACCGGGCUUUGUAAUAUCAGCCAACAGGGAGGAAGUGACAGAGCUGCCUG